Molecule: small nuclear RNA, 98 nt
Organism: Dipodomys ordii (Ord's kangaroo rat)
Lineage: Eukaryota; Metazoa; Chordata; Mammalia; Rodentia; Heteromyidae
Source: Ensembl
GUGCUCACUUCGGCAGCACAUAUACUAAAAUUGGAACGAUACAGAGAAGAUUAGCAUGGCUAGAUGACACACAAAUUUGUGAAGCGUUCCUUGUUUUU